RNAcentral lists this long non-coding RNA (1523 nucleotides) under Macaca mulatta (Rhesus monkey). Its description in RNAcentral is "lncRNA (ENSMMUG00000049404.1)". The record is from RNAcentral. Lineage: Eukaryota; Metazoa; Chordata; Mammalia; Primates; Cercopithecidae.
UUUUUUUUUUUUCCCUCCCCACUUUUUUCUUCCCCAGUCAAUGAGACUACUCUCAAAUCCAGUGAGUCACCGGAAAAUGUAAAUUAAAAAAAAAAAAAAAUUAAGAGGAACAUUGCUCCUACGUAAGCUCUUGCCAUCUGUGAAUCAUUCCGAGACAGGUAUAAUGGACAUAAUUAUAGCUCAUCCACAAGCUAGACCCCAAAUCAAUCCUUAAGGCUGAGUUCAGAAUCCAGUGGUUUCCCCAGCAUGGCCUGGGGCAGUGAAAGCCAGCCUAGAGGAGAACACAAAUCUGAAAUGUGCUCAGAGGCCUUGGUGAUCCCACAGGGGGCCCAGGCUGGGUGGAAACCUGGGUAUGUAUGCCCUGAUAACCAGAGACCCAGCAAUUCCAGAACCCCCCUCCCACCCCAUGUUCUCCCCAUCCCACACACUCAAGGUACCUCCUUCUGUUUGAAUUCAUUCUCUUUUUACCAGACCUUUAUUCUUCCUGUCACUGCAAAACCAUUCAACCUAACCAAAAAGUCGGGGGGAUAGUCAAUUUAUUCUACUACAGGUUGGGCACGGUGGCUCACGCCUGUAAUCCUAGCACUUUGGGAGGCCAAGGCAGACAGAUCACGAGGUCAGGAGAUGGAGACCAUCCUGGCCAACGUGGUGAAACUCCAUCUCUACUAAAAUACAAAAAAUUAGCCAGGCCUGGUGGUGGGCGCCUAUAGUCCCAGCUAGUUGGGAGGCUGAGGCAGGGGAAAUCACUUGAACCCAGGAGGCGGAGGUUGCAGUGAGCUGAGAUAGUGCCACUGGACUCCAGCAUAGGUGAUAGAGCAAGACUCUAUCUAUCUAUAUAUAUAUAAAUAAAAUACUUCAAAUAGGAUCAUCCCUUCUGUAUAUAGACUGCCUGGACCUUGGCUAAUCACUCUUUGCUUUUCUUUCCUCAUCUGCAAAAUAGGACAACAAUAGGCCCUUCUUCAUGGGAGUUUUGUGGCAAUUAAAUGAGGUAAUGUAUGUGAUACCCUUAAGAACAAUGCUUGUGUUCAAUCAAUACCCAGCGAUUAUUAACAUCAUCAUCCUCUUCACCUCCUGGGGAGGUGGGAGUGUCAAAAGCUCCCAUGUAAGAUGGCAACUACCAUGGCUCCAGGGCCCCCCAUUCUGGUGGCCAGUAUUAGGAAUCACAGGAGCACCAUAAUGAGAAUGUUGGAGCUGGAAGAUCAUCCAACCCCAUCAGGGAAACUGGACCCAAAGAAGAGCAGAGACCAGCCCCGAGCCACCCACUUGGUCAGUGUCAGAGGCAAGACAGGAACCCUGGCCUUCUGUGUGCAGGCCAUUUUUCCCACUCUAGCACAUGCGAUUCCUCCAGUCCCAGAGGUGAAGGUCAGAAGAGCAAGCUUAACACAUCUCUGUAAUCAGGGGAGAUGAACUCCUUGGAAAUGGGAAACAUUAUGCUAAUCCAUUCCAAAAUAUUCUAGCUCAAGGCCAAGUGCAGGGGGCCUAUGUCCGUGGAAGCCCCGCUCCUGCAAGUCAGUACCAGCACC